CGGUUUUAGUUAUGAGUCUUACAAUAUCAGUCGUUACACUUGGACGAAAGGAAAUCAAAACUUUUGCGAUGUAAUGUAAAUAAGAAAACCCGGGAUAUAGCUGUUGUAAUUUUCAUCUCAAUUUCUUCUUUGGAAUGGCGUUGAAUUCAAUGUGUUAUCGGUGCUAAUGAUACUAUUCAAAACAAACACGACUAUAAAAUAAAGAAAACAUGUGAAAUAGUCCUACACAAUCAGUCCUUACACUUAGAAGAAAGGAAAUGAAAACUUUAAUGAUAUAAUGACAGUGUCAUUGUAUGUUUUCAUUGAGAAGGAAUGUGAUUGCCAUUAAUGAAAUUUUUAGAAACACUAUUAUACAAUACAUUUUAUAAUUAUACUGUAAAAACACAUAUUUUUAUUCAUUUUAUUGUUCGACAAUGAUUCAAUUGUAUCUUUAAAUUAUAUUAGGUAAUUGUAAAUUUG
Molecule: long non-coding RNA, 459 nt
Organism: Sipha flava (yellow sugarcane aphid)
Lineage: Eukaryota; Metazoa; Arthropoda; Insecta; Hemiptera; Aphididae
Exons: 4
Source: RefSeq, a predicted model, not a curated record